UGUACAAGUUGGCUGAGAAUAUUAAAUCCAAGGGUGGCAACAUUACUCGUGAACCUGGUCCUGUCAAGGGAGGAUCCACUGUUAUUGCCUUUGCACAAGACCCUGAUGGUUACCGUUUUGCGCUUAUUCAGAGGGCUGAGACACCUGAGCCUCUUUGCCAAGUCAUGCUUCGUGUUGGUGACCUUGAGCGAUCUAUCAAGUUCUAUGAGAAGGUACUUCCUUUCCUGUUGUAAGGUAGGCUAUUCCAGAAGUUAGAAAUGCUAAAUAUUUUCUUCUUUAUGUCUCUUGCCCAUGCUCGUAUAUGGUGCAUUAUUUGUUGUCAUUCAGGCCCUUGGGAUGAAGCUCCUAGAAAAGAAGGAUGUUCCCGAUUAUAAGGUAUCUUCAACUAUUAGGGGCUGAAAGAAUGGUGCUAGAUCUAUAGUGAUGAGUGAAAUGUCAUGCAAUGUUUUUCCUCAGAUGUGGUAUUCAUUCAAUUUUAGACUGAAUAUAUUUGGCCUUGUACAGUAUACCAUUGCAAAGUUGGGCUAUGCUGAUGAGGACAAGACAACUGUUCUGGAACUGAUAUACAACUAUGGUGUCACAGAAUAUAGCAAGGGCAAUGCAUAUGCUCAGGUACGUUUGAAAUCUUUUAUCCACAGUAUUUAUCUAAUAAGGUCUUGCCAUUUCUAUGAUCCUCCUUAUAUAAGGGCAGGUUGCUAUUGGCACCAAUGAUGUGUACAAGAGUGCCGAGGCUGUUGAUCUUGCGACCAAAGAACUGGGGGGCAAGAUUUUGCGGCAGCCAGGGCCGCUACCUGUGAUCAACACAAAGAUCACCUCUUUUGUUGACCCAGAUGGCUGGAAAGUGGUAUGCCUUCCAUCAACUAUCAUAUCUAUGCUAUACUGUUAACCAUCGAAAGACCUACUGCUUUCUUCAAAUCUUUAUCGACAAUAAGUUUUUGGCAGAAACUAGGCACACCUUGUAGUUUCAAAGCUUAAAUUUGAUGCAUAUGUGAAUCCAAGCUGUUACUUGUGAAACAGUAUCCUACCUUGGGAGACUAAUAAAGAAAAAAACUUUGGCAAAAUGUGGCAGAAACGGUAGGACCUUAAUGUGAAAUUGAUGCCUUACCUAUCCCAUGAAUGUAGUAAUUAUCUCAUCAAAAUUUACAUGCAAUCUGAUUAUUUUUUAUGGUGCUCCUCUUACCACUUGAGAGGUAAGAGAUAAUUUUAAUCUGAAUGACUGAGUAAGGGCAGUUUUGACCAAAUGAAACGCCACUAGUAAGGAAACCAACAUUCAAAUCUGUCUAUAGAAAGCAGCAAUAAACAAUUGUUUUAAGGAAUGUUUAAUGUUCAAGCGUUUCAUGAUCAUAUUACUGCUAUUCAGAUCAUUGGAUCUGGAUCACGCACAAAUUGGUUCAAAUAUUGAGACCUACCUUCUUUUUUAUUUUUUUAAUGAAUGAGCAACUUGUUCCGUAUUAGUUUCUGAAUCUUAUUUUUGAAAGAAAGUAGUAGACCAGAAAACGUGACAUUUUAUCCUUGACAUUAUAGGUUCUGGUUGACCACGCCGACUUCCUCAAGGAACUCCAGUGAAGACUGGACGCCCAGGUGGCAUGCUAGGAUGUAGUAGUGCUUGUCCAUGAUGUAAUAAACGGCUGUUGGUGGUUCAGUUUGUCCCUGCCCCGAUGAACCGAAAAUAAAAUUGCUGCAGAGCUGUGCUUUUGCUAGUGAUCUUCCUUUGGGAUUGGCUGUGUGGUUAUGCUGUUAGUAGUAUGCAAUUGCUACCUGUAGCAACCUGUCUAUUAGAAUGGGUCAGUUCGCCUGGUUGAAUGGUGUUUGGUUCACUGUGAUCUGUUCUGGUUUCGUGCUUGUGUGUUUUGUGGUGAAUUUGCUUUGAUGGGCGUUACGAUACGCUUUUGCUGAUCCCACCCUUGUUCAUACAUACUCUCUCUAGCAAAAAAAGAAGUCAUUCUAAUUUUGAUUUAAGUCAAAUCAUCUUUAAUUUGAAUAAAAUUUAUAAAGAAAGCAUCAAUGUUUAUUACACCAAAUAGAUUAUCUACGAAGUGUAUUAACACCAAAUAGAUUAUCUACGAAGUGUAUUUUGUCUGCUCACUUCGCCACCGUGUUUUGGUGGGGUUAAUUGUACGGUUGCUUGAGACUCUACAAGCUGGCUAAUUUGAUGUCUUUGAUAUUUUUUGUCUGCACAGAUCUAUAUUGCAAACCGCAAACCUGAGACAUACAUUAUAUUUUCAUAAAUACGAGACAUACAUUACAUAGCCAAAAUGACCUACAAUUUAGAACGGAGAGAGUACAAAACAGUGCUUAAAUAUUUAUGGAAAUGUAAUUUUUUUGGGUGAUAAUUUAUUUUGUUACAAUAACUACUCCAUUUAUUCUGGAAGAAAGAAACACUAUUCAUCAUUAAGUAAGUACUCCCUCCGUUCCAAAUUAUAAGUCAUUCCAAUUUUCUUAGAGAGUCAAAGCAUAUCAAGUUUGAUCAAAUUUAUACAAUAAAAUGCUAACAUUCAUGAUAUCAAAUAGGUACCAUUAGUUUCUUCAUUAAAUAUAUUUUCAUAGUAUAUCUAUUCGGUGUCACAAACUUGUGUGAUUUUCCCUAUAAUUUUGGUCAAACAUAAAAUGGUUUGACUCUUCAAGAAAGUUGGAAGGACUUAUAAUUUGGAACGGAGGGAGUAAAGGGAAAAGAAUCAUCCAUUCACGUUCCUUAGGAAAAGCACCUGACCUUUCUAAUAUUAAAAUUAUUCUCCCGCAAUUUUAAAAGUGAGUCGCAGUCUCGCAGAGAAAAAAAGAAACAUUAAAAAGCCUGGAGAAGCUUCUCGCACGCUGCACACUCUGCACUCCUCAUGUGGACUGGAGCCUGUAUAUAGGUGCGGCGCCUUCAGUCUCCACUCAUCUCCUCGCAAAGUGGAAGAAGCCAAGACAAUUGGUUAGGUUGAGAGCUCGCUGCUGCGCCUGUGCGUGCUCCUUGGUCGAAUCGACUCGGGACCGGUCUGAAUCCAAUCCAAGGUGAGCAUCCAUCUCAAACCCAUCAUCUCCUCUCCUCUGACCCCUCGCGCUGCUCAUGAUUCCACGGUUCUGGAGUUCGGAUCAGGNNNNNNNNNNNNNNNNNNNNNNNNNNNNNNNNNNNNNNNNNNNNNNNNNNNNNNNNNNNNNNNNNNNNNNNNNNNNNNNNNNNNNNNNNNNNNNNNNNNNUCUUUUUCCUUUUAAUCCCCUUUUGGGUUCACUAAUUCCCGCGGUUCUGGGUUGGCCGCGGGCGCUCUCAGUUUUUUUGGCUUUUUAUCUCACAGGAUUCGCUUUCACUCACUUUGGCGUUCACACGACAACACACAUACACCCCCCCCCCCCCCCCCCCCCCCCCCCCCCCCCCCCCCGCCCACCACCACCACCACACACACACACACACACGAAAAAGGCAAAGUGGGAGUUCGAUUUGAGUGCUCCCUUCUCCCAAAUGCUGAAACAGCGAAGGGAACUCGAGGUUUAGUGACCCUGUAUAUAUAGGUUCGCCGUGACCCGCGACAACAAAUUGCAGGGAUUUAGGUUCGGUUCUUUUCUUGCUUGGGCUUUUGGGGGUUACAUAUGUUUCCAUCGUCUAGAUUGACUAAUGGUGUGUUAGUUGCAUCACCAAAGAUGUACAAGGGGGAGCCCUGGAUCUGAUUUGGGCAUUUGGUUGACCAGUGACUUUUGUUAGUAAUAACUUUCUGAGAGACAAAAUAUUUGAUUUGGUUUGGGAUUGCGAUUGAAAGACAUGAAAACAAAAGGAGAUGUAUCACCUUAAGUUCUGUCAUAUUAGCACUGUUGUUUUUUAUGAGACAUUGAGAGUUGCAGGCUUGCAGCAGAGAUUAGUAUUUCUGAUAAAUAUACUCCUAUGUUUUGAAAAGAGAAAGCACUGAUUAAUUGGAUGUUCCUGUACUGAUAAUCUUCUGAACCACACUACGAUUUUCUGCCAGAAUUCUGAAGAAAUGCCACCACUGUCAUAAUCUGGAGCCUGAACUCCUCGUGCUUGGUUCUUUGUUUUGCUCAAUAUACCUUUUUCCCUCUUGUUCUUAUCAAAGGUGUGACUUCCUGUACCAGGGAUGGCAACUGGGAGCGAAGCCGUGAAGCCAGCUGAGGCUGUGCUUGAGUGGAACAAACAGGACAACAAGAGGAUGCUUCAUGCUGUUUACCGUGUCGGGGAUCUGGACCGCACGAUCAAGUAUGUUGCUGUAUUUUAAGCAACAUUUUCGACAUCUAGAGCUAGUAUCAUGCUUCUGAUGCUGUCUUGUGAUUCUGGUAGGUACUACACGGAAUGCUUUGGGAUGAAGCUGCUGAGGAAAAGAGAUGUGCCUGAUGAGAAGUACACUAACGCCUUCCUUGGGUUUGGACCAGAGGAAACCAACUUUGCGCUUGAAUUGACUUACAGUAUGUUCAUCGACCUGCCCAAUUGUUUUUUGUGGCACAGUUGUUUCAAUAUUAUACUUCAUAUUUGGAUAAUAUGUGUGUCAACCUGGUAAGAAACUUAGCAAUGUAUAUGCUUCUCUCUUCAUAUGAACUGAUCAACUCAUUUCCUUGGAAAGCAUUUUCAUUUUCUCCGACAUCCUAUGGUGCUAACAAGUUCACUGUUGUUCAACAGACUAUGGCGUCGACAAGUAUGACAUUGGAGAGGGCUUUGGGCAUUUUGCUAUCGCUAAUGAGGAUGUAAGUAUUGUUAUUUGCAAUGCCUACUGUCAGUGUUGCAGCAAUUAUGCUUAUAUGAUAUCAUGCAUGCAAUGCAGGUGUACAAGUUGGCUGAGAAUAUUAAGUCCAAGGGUGGCAAGAUUACUCGUGAACCUGGUCCUGUCAAGGGCGGAUCCACUGUUAUUGCCUUUGCACAAGACCCUGAUGGUUAUCUGUUUGAGCUUAUUCAGAGGGCUGAGACACCUGAGCCUCUUUGCCAAGUCAUGCUUCGUGUUGGUGACCUUGAGCGUUCUAUCAAGUUCUAUGAGAAGGUAUUUUCUUUCCUUAUGUAAGGGUAGGCUGUUCCAGAGGUCCCAUGCUCAUACAUGAUGUAUUGUUUGUUGUCAUGCAGGC
RNAcentral lists this long non-coding RNA (5037 nucleotides) under Setaria italica (foxtail millet). RNAcentral describes it as "long non-coding RNA (SITA_LNC004266)". The record is from RNAcentral. Lineage: Eukaryota; Viridiplantae; Streptophyta; Magnoliopsida; Poales; Poaceae.